Patella vulgata (common limpet) is the source of this 1234-nucleotide RNA transcript. RefSeq lists it as uncharacterized. The record is from RefSeq and is a predicted model, not a curated record. NCBI's taxonomy places the organism in Eukaryota, Metazoa, Mollusca, Gastropoda, Patellidae. The transcript is spliced from 8 exons.
AAAAGUAAAUAAAGCAGACGAACCAUUCACGUGUUUAUUUUGAUUCAUUGGGUUCAUAAUAAUUUCUCAACAUUACUUGUGAAACUUGUCAUCAUAAAACUCACCUUUACUUAAAAAUAAAGUCAUUACACGUCGAGCACAUGUUGUCUAUAAUUAGACAUUCAGCUGAAAUCAGAUGGAUUCACAUCCAGAUAAUUACUUUGACUUGAAUUUUGGAAAGUGAGUCAUUCCAUCCUACUCCUAGUUCCUACUGACUGAGUCUUACACGAAAAUAUCGGAAUCUGGCAACUUUAUUCUCUGACCAUAUCAUCUCAAACGGCAAGAAGGGCUGAAUCAGAGGACUCGUCACCAGUAGCAACAAUUAGUGAGGCACAAAUUGGUGAAGAAGAAAAUAUUCAUAAUGUAAAACCAGUGCAUUGGCCUACAACAGCUUUUAUUAAUUACAAUCAUCAAAGCUAUUCAAGUUAUUUAAUCGGAAGAUCGUGCAAUCUAAAUGUUGACAAAAGUUCCUCUGAAGUGAAGGAUUAUUCUAAUAAAGAAAAUAGUCAAAAACUGAAAUCAUCUUUAAUCAAUAUUCCAAUGGUCUCAGCUGGUGAUCUACCUCAUCCAAAAAGUCUAAGAAAACGAUUAAGUAAUAGAACUCCCAAGUACAAGAAUGUGAAAGUUAAACAUGAUCAAGCCAUGAUGGUAGAAAACCAUAUUAAACAGAUGAAAUUUCGUAUUGCGAGAGUAAACAGGAAUGAGGAUUUUGUAGUGCUCAACAAUGAAUGUAAUAGUGAUGUAUUCAGUAAUGAUUUAUGUUUAUUAAAUACCAAUGAUUUACCUCCUCUACCACCAAUAAAGACUCCAUUGCAUGAGCACAGAUCAUCAUACCCAGCCAGUUACAUCACACCACCUCAAAUAAAUUAUCGAACUGUCAGCAGGACUAAUACCAACAAAUUACCAGCCUUAGGAUUAGGGAUUAAUGAAAGAUAUUCUAUAAUGGAUUUUUAUAAUCUUGAGCCUAUAAGUUCUCUGCAUGAUACAAACACAAUCCCUAUUCCAUCUAUGUAUAGUUAUUCAACAACAAAUCUAAGAAGACAUUCAGAAACCCCAACAGAUUUUUCGCCAGACCAAGGUUACACCAGAGACAAUGAUAAUGAGGAGGCCUGGCUUUACCAACAAUGGAAACCACGCUGUAUAUUUCCAAGUUAUGAAGAAUAAGUGAUGCACUAUAUUCAACAAAAUGUCUAUU